GGGGGGGGGGGGGGGGGGGGAUAAUUCACAGAAACUAAGAACAAGUCUAACAAUGGUGAUCUCACCAGUCAUUUGCUAUGAACUGAGAAAAGAGCGUUACAAGACGAAAGGGGGUGAUGAGGCAGACAGCGUUACUUUGCGCGGUCCAGCGACUCCAGCCACCUCCUGGUUUCCUACCGGCUUAUUGGAUAAUCGACGUUUAUAGCGCUUGAGGACGGAUGCCAGGUUCUCUUUUCCUUUAGGAAAGGCUACAUCCCCUGCUGCAGUGCCCGUUCGUCCCUUUCGACAGGAAAUUGCUGUCUCCACGUCUUUGAUCAUCUCUAAGAGCAUUGCUG
RNAcentral lists this unclassified non-coding RNA (335 nucleotides) under Hevea brasiliensis (rubber tree). The record is from RNAcentral. Lineage: Eukaryota; Viridiplantae; Streptophyta; Magnoliopsida; Malpighiales; Euphorbiaceae.